Molecule: long non-coding RNA, 3388 nt
Organism: Alexandromys fortis (reed vole)
Lineage: Eukaryota; Metazoa; Chordata; Mammalia; Rodentia; Cricetidae
Exons: 4
Source: RefSeq, a predicted model, not a curated record
CGCAUCAAAGACUGAACAUGGAUCCUAUCUGCUGCCAGGCUGGAUAUACCGCAGCACAGCGACCCCACUCCAUCCUGUGUUUAACUGCCAUGAAACCAGUAAUCAAAAAGCGAAUUAAGGAAGUAGCACCAGUGAAAAUGGCUGAAUAGAAAACCAUGGAAGCUUGUGUCUCCUCAAAAGCAGCACACAGACUGGUGAAUGGUACCAAAACUAAUUGCGUUGAGAUUCUGGAAAUGAAUCAAAGCAACAGCAAAGCUUGCCUUUCUGUCACCAAGAGAGGAAUUCUGUGGCUCCUGAGGUGGCAUUUGUUCAAUGCAUUGCUAAGCAAAUAUAUUAACCGCUAUUGCCCAGUGCAAGAGAUCACAGUGACAGACAAAAAAGCUGGAGAAGAAAUGCUAGAGACUGAUAACUCUAUAAACGUCCACAUUCCAGCCCUGGAAAAACUGGCCUUGCAUUCCCAGAGAUCAGCCUGCUCUGUCCGCUCUGGGAUCCAAGGUGCGCACCACGGUGCCUGGCUUCUCACAGGUGAAAGCAAUCGAAGCACAGAUGCUUUUCUAGCUUUAGAGCUGAUCCCAAGUUUACAGCAAUGAAGGGAAGGUGGGGUUGGCGCCAACACAGACAGAAGAGCCAACGAGAAGCAAGAGUUCAGGAGCAAACUCAUGUACCCAUGCUCAGUGACUUGACAAGAGUGGCCAGACCGUGCAAUGGGGGCAGAACCCAUUUCCUCAGCAAAUGCUGAUGAGUCAAUUAGAUAUUCACGAGCAAAAGAACGAAAUCACAUCGUUACCUCCCAUCUUAUACAAAUACUAACUCAAAAUGAGUCAAAGACCCGCUCGGAAGACUAAAACAGCAACGUUCUUAGAAAUCAACUCAGGGCAACUCUAGCUAAUCCUUGGAUUUGGCAAUAGAUUUUUAUUUUCGGUAUGAAACCAAAUACAGUCAACAAAUAGAAAAAUGAAUAGAUCAGACUCCAUCAAAUGAAAAAGUUUUGCACACACAGCCCCCAAAACCAAGAAUGUGGAAAACAACAUAGAACGCAUCAAAAUAUUUUCAAACUACGUAUCUUACAGAAGUCAGUUUUUCGGAUACAUGAGUGCACUUUAACAUCUGUGAGACGAAUAACCAUACCAAACUGGCAAAUGACUCAAACAGACACUUUCCCAAAGAAGACAUAAAAAUGAUAAUGAAGCCCUUGACAAGAUGCUCAGAGUCCUCAGUCAAUAAGGACGUAUAACACAAACACCAUGGGACAACACGUUCCGCCUACUAAGAUGGCUAUCACGACAAUCCAUACAAUACAAUUGAUAGUGUGGGUGAGGAGAUGGGAAACUAAUAAUCUUCACAUGUUGGGACAGAUAUGUAAAAUGCCCAGAUACUGUGGAAAGCAGUUUGGCUUACGUAAUACUAGAAUCCAGUAGUUGGAAGUCUCAUCCGUUCUGAUAUGGCCCCAAAGACCUGGUCUAUGUUGAAGUCCAAAGAAGUUUGGUUCUAAUAGCAAUCAAAAAACAGAGCAGUGACAGCAACAGGAUGGAUGAACUUGCCAGCAUGAGUGAAGACAAGCAGAAAAAAAAAACAAACAAAAUGUCUGUAUUUCCAUCUCCUUUUUGUCUGAAUUGCCACCAGAAGAUGCCAUCAACACUUACAGCAGGUCCGCCUCAAACAAUUGGAUGAAAAGGAGCCUUGGCUGGAGUGCCCAGCAGCUGGCCUUUUCGUCGACUCCAGAGCCAGUCAAGUGGACAGUAGAGAUUAACCGUUGUAAUAGUUAUCAAUAUAAAUCGUGUGAGAUACAUAGAUGAUACCAAGGAGAGGAAGCAGUUGGGCUGACCCAGAGGGCAGGAUCCUGAUAAGUGGGUAAAAUUCGAACAGCUAGGCAGUGGGAUAGGAGGAGGAAUUCUAUGCUUGGAGAUCUAGCACACAAGGGAGGGAAUAUUCCAGAACAUUAGGAGACCUGCUAUGUUAGAUCUCUUUGAAGGCUAACAUGCAACUAAUGAAAGGUUCAAAUUAAGCUAAGACAACCAAUAGUAUCAGCAAACAGAGAGCCUUUCCCGCUCUGAGACUCAUUGUCUCGUAUUAUUUAUUUUCCCUUCAAAGCAUCUCUGUGCGACCUGUCGCUGCCAUCUAAACUAAGGUCUAUCCUGCUAUGUUUUGUCUUUGCUAUGAGCCUGCCCUUGUGGUGUCUGGUUCUGUUCAGAAGCUGUCUUUAACAGGUAGUUGUUGUCUUUUCUUCCACCCUACUGCUUCCAGUAACAUCCUUCAGGGACCAUGAGAAACAAUUCCACUUCUCCUUCUGUUUAUAUUCUGAGGAUGCUUAUGGAGUUUCCACAUUCCCUCUGCUUUGAGCCCAGCCAAGGUAUACAUGCUUAAUACCUUUAAUCUCUCCCCCUAAGUCACUCCCUCUGGUCCCUUAAUCAUCUUAAUUGCUCCUCUCCGAAAGGCAGCCAGCUCAUUAUGUGUAUCUUCCUUGGGAGGCAAUGAGGAACAUAGUAUUCCCCUUGUGGUCUCACUGGGCUCAUAUAUUACCUCCCAGUUUCAUCAUCCAUGGCUGGACAUGAGCGGGCCCCACCCCACUGCCCUCCCUCUCCCUACAGUGCACCCCGGCCCCUGCAAAUCCCUUAUUUCGCCAGGUUAUCUCUGGUUUUCCAGGUGGCCUGCUCUGAAGCUUGGAACCCACGCUGGCCACAGGCUGUUCCCAUCCCUGGGGGGGGGGGGGGGGAGCGGGAGCCACUUACUGAAGAAGGUGGCUCAGGACCAGCCUGAGAGUCUGGAGAAUUGCAACUAAGCUUGUGUAAGUCAACCUUGGAAGGGGAGAGGCUGCGGAGUGCCCAGAAUUAGGCUGCUGAGUGCCAUAAGCGCUGUGGCCUGCUGGGCUGUGUGAGCGAGCGUUCAGGACACAACUCCGGGGCUCCAGCUCUGCUUCUAAUUAUCCUGUGUAUCUCCCCUCGAACUCUGCUUCUUACCUAAGUGUUUUCAGAGCUCUCAGCCGGCACUGCGUCGCUUUAUGAGGAUAAAUGUGAAGCCAAACAAAUGAUAAAUAUCCUGUUUCAAGAUGUGUUAUCGCCCUGUGGAUGGAAAGCCCCAGAAGCCUGAGACUUUGAAAGCGCUGGUCUUGUUUUUUUUUUUUUUUUCUUUCUAAAGCUUUGAAAAGGAACACACACACACACACACACACACACACACACACACACACACACACGACUUUCCCAUUCUAAGGCAUAGUGGCAGAGGUCAAACUGCCUUUGAGGAAGCCAAAUGUUUGGGUUUCCACAGAAGGGUGACUUGGAAACCCACAUGAAGCUUCCAUGGGUGUCUGAGAGGAAAUAGCACCCCUGGACGUGGGACGCCGAAGAAGACAUGGUUCAAAACCUUCCUCUAACUCCAGUUUUCAGGG